UGAAAACCUCUGGCAAUCAAACGUGCCU
RNAcentral lists this non-coding RNA (28 nucleotides) under Bombyx mori (domestic silkworm). Lineage: Eukaryota; Metazoa; Arthropoda; Insecta; Lepidoptera; Bombycidae. The record is from RNAcentral.